UAAUAUUUCUAGUAUGUAAGGGCUC
This 25-nucleotide non-coding RNA is filed under the name Mus musculus (house mouse). The record is from RNAcentral. Lineage: Eukaryota; Metazoa; Chordata; Mammalia; Rodentia; Muridae.